CUCAGUCACUACCUGUUUAUUAUUUAUUUAUUAGGUGUGCUUCGUAGCAAUAGCGUGUAAGCUCCCUGAAGGUGCAGGAUCCUUUCUAUUUUUGUAUGUCCACAAUUUAGCGCAGUGUCUGGCAUAUAGUGGCCCUUUAAUAAAUGCUUGCACAAUUAAUGCAAAGGAAGACAAUCCUACACCCUAACUCUCCUCCUCCUACCUCUCCCCAACACCUGUCUCCUGAAGACAGAAUAACAGUGACUAAAAUGACAAUUCUUCAAUUCCUUAUUGAACUCUUCCAAAGGUAACUAAGCACACUCAAGAGAAUGAACACGAUCAGAGCACUGUUUCUCCUCCAGGAAGGAAGCUCCAGAAUAAUUCACUUGAGAAAGCAACUGAGUCACGGAGGAGGCUAAUUUAUUCCCGGAGAAAUACCUUUCCUUUCCCAAACUGAGACGUCAAGUCGGUGAACAGACUUGCAUUUAUUUUUUUAAACCAGGCGUUUCUCGCACUUGCUAAUGAAUCUGACACUUGUGAAAUCUAAACAGGAAGCCGGAGUUCUCCAAAGCUCUGUGAAGGAAAUUCAUUCCCUCUUAUGUCGUCAACGUGCGCAUUCCGAUGCGCAGGCGAGCGGAGCCAUAACCGGGAGAAACCUUGGAGACCAUCGUAAUUAUAACAAUUUAGCCAACAGCUGCAUUUGCAAGUUUACAAAGCCCUUGACAGACUUGAUCUCACAGGAACUUCGGGGCCAUCCUGUGAGGCAGGUGCGAAGGGGAUGAUCCCCAUCUGAGGAAACAGAAGCAAAGAGAUUUGCUCGAGCCGUCCCACCACCGCAUUAUAAGGAGCAGAAUUCGAACCCCGAUUUUGGCUCCGUCCUUCUUAUUUCUCUGCCAGUUGUGUUUCCCACACCGAAUCUGGAAGGAGUCACAGGAGUCAGACAGAGGUCGAGCCUGUGCUCUCUACCUUCCUGCUGCUAUAGAACGCGGGCUAGCCCGAGGACUGAGCCCCAAAGGAAGGUCCGUGCGUGCAUCCGUCGCAAGCACUGGCCUCCUUUGCCGUGCCUUCCAAGCUUUUCAUGGGAUUACCAGGUUUAGAACUAGAAGGAGCUCAGGGACACCUAAGGUCACCCUCAGGGGCCGUCAGCUCUCAGGCACACACCCCGUUCGGCCGUGGGUCCCCGAAGUCCCCCGAAUUCUGUUCCACCGUUAGUGUCUACUUUCCCGUCCAUCGCCUCUUUUUUUUUUUUUAAUCAGAGCUGCUAAGAAGGAAUAAAC
This 1256-nucleotide long non-coding RNA is filed under the name Sarcophilus harrisii (Tasmanian devil). RNAcentral's name for it is "lncRNA (ENSSHAG00000028297.1)". The record is from RNAcentral. Lineage: Eukaryota; Metazoa; Chordata; Mammalia; Dasyuromorphia; Dasyuridae.